Molecule: ribosomal RNA, 254 nt
Filed under: uncultured bacterium
Lineage: Bacteria
Description: partial 16S ribosomal RNA
Rfam family: Bacterial small subunit ribosomal RNA
Source: RNAcentral
UACGUAGGUGGCAAGCGUUGUCCGGAAUUAUUGGGCGUAAAGCGCGCGCAGGCGGUCGCGUAAGUCUGCUGUGAAAUCUCCCUGGCUCAACCGGGAGGGGGCGGCGGAGACUGCGGGACUGGAGGGACCUAGAGGCCGGUGGAAUUCCCGGUGUAGUGGUGAAAUGCGUAGAUAUCGGGAGGAACACCAGUGGCGAAGGCGACUUUCUGGCCUGUUCUUGACGCUGAGGCGCGAAAGCUAGGGGAGCAAACGGG